AACACAAUCUUCAUCAUCACACAAGACAAAAGAACAACAAUGAACACAAUCACCUUCUUCAUCUGGACUCUCACACUGUUUAUUCAAGAGUGUAGAGGACAGAUCACUGUAACUCAGAGUCCAUCAAUAACAGCUGUUCAACCAGGACAAGAAGUCAGAAUAAACUGUAAAACCAGCAGUGCAGUGCAUGGUGGUGUUUAUUUAGCCUGGUACUUACAGAAAUCUGGAGAAGCUCCUAAACUCCUCAUAUAUACAGCAACAACCCGUAAUACUGGAACUCCAUCUAGAUUCAGUGGCAGUGGAUCUAACAGUGAUUUCACUCUGACCAUCAGUGGAGUCCAGACUGAAGAUACAGGAGAUUAUUACUGUCAGAGUUUACACUAUCCAAACAGCCAAUGGGUGUUCACACAGUGA
This is a non-coding RNA of Megalobrama amblycephala (Wuchang bream), 414 nucleotides long. NCBI's taxonomy places the organism in Eukaryota, Metazoa, Chordata, Actinopteri, Cypriniformes, Xenocyprididae. The record is from the annotation of a RefSeq genome assembly.